This is a non-coding RNA of Danio rerio (zebrafish), 442 nucleotides long. Lineage: Eukaryota; Metazoa; Chordata; Actinopteri; Cypriniformes; Danionidae. The record is from Ensembl.
CUCUGCCUGUUCCUGUCCUCAUCCUCAACUCUUCUCAAUGUUCUUCAUCCUCAUCUUCAUCAGUGCAGUAUUGUUCAGUGCUGUGUUCAGUGGUGAAUGUGAGCGCUGUGAGUCUCUCCUGGUACAAAGGAAACAGUUUAUUGUCCAGCAUCAGUGUGUCUGAUCUCAGCAUCAGUCUCUCUCUACCUCUGGAGGUGGAAUAUCAGGAGAAAAACACCUACAGCUGUGUGAUCAACAACACCAUCAGCAACCAGACUCAACAUCUGGACAUCAGUCAACUCUGUCCCACAUGUUCAGGCUCUGUUCACUGCUGUGGUCCUACUGAAGCUGUGAUCCGAUUGGUCCUCUCUGUUCUGGUGGGCGUGGCUACUGUCAUUAUUGUGCUUUAUGACAUCAGAUCCAGAAGAGCUGAACCAGAUCAAGCACAUAUUCACGCAUCACA